RNAcentral lists this unclassified non-coding RNA (18 nucleotides) under Mus musculus (house mouse). Its description in RNAcentral is "oocyte_clustered_small_RNA6345". Lineage: Eukaryota; Metazoa; Chordata; Mammalia; Rodentia; Muridae. The record is from RNAcentral.
UGUGGGCCCAGUGGCAGG